Molecule: ribosomal RNA, 492 nt
Filed under: uncultured bacterium
Lineage: Bacteria
Description: partial 16S ribosomal RNA
Rfam family: Bacterial small subunit ribosomal RNA
Source: RNAcentral
AGUGAACGCUGGCGGUAGGCCUAACACAUGCAAGUCGAACGGCAGCACAGUAAGAGCUUGCUCUUACGGGUGGCGAGUGGCGGACGGGAGAGGAAUACAUCGGAAUCUACUUUUUCGUGGGGGAUAACGUAGGGAAACUUACGCUAAUACCGCAUACGACCUACGGGUGAAAGCAGGGGAUCUUCGGACCUUGCGCGAUUGAAUGAGCCGAUGUCGGAUUAGCUAGUUGGCGGGGUAAAGGCCAACCAAGGCGACGAUCCGUAGCUGGUCUGAGAGGAUGAUCAGCCACACUGGAACUGAGACACGGUCCAGACUCCUACGGGAGGCAGCAGUGGGGAAUAUUGGACAAUGGGCGCAAGCCUUAUCCAGCCAUACCGCGUGGGUGAAGAAGGCCUUCGGGUUGUAAAGCCCUUUUGUUGGGAAAGAAAAGCAGCAGGUUAAUACCCCGCUGUUCUGACGGUACCCAAAGAAUAAGCACCGGCUAACUUCGUG